Molecule: ribosomal RNA, 253 nt
Filed under: uncultured bacterium
Lineage: Bacteria
Description: partial 16S ribosomal RNA
Rfam family: Bacterial small subunit ribosomal RNA
Source: RNAcentral
GACGAAGGGGGCUAGCGUUGUUCGGAAUUACUGGGCGUAAAGCGCGUGUAGGCGGUUAUCCAAGUCAGGUGUGAAAGCCUUGAGCUCAACUCAAGAAAUGCACUUGGUACUGGGUGACUAGAGGACCGGAGAGGAUAGUGGAAUUCCCAGUGUAGUGGUGAAAUACGUAGAGAUUGGGAAGAACACCAGUGGCGAAGGCGGCUAUCUGGACGGUUUCUGACGCUAAGACGCGAAAGCGUGGGGAGCAAACAGG